CAAGAGGCCAUAUGCAGUUUUCCCCUUGGCUGAUCUUUUCUUCUUGUGGCUUAUUCCACAAACAAGAUGCAGAAUGGCAUAUACAGAACCCUGCAACGGCCCAGCCUCAUCACAAGAGAGGAACAGACCAUAGAGGGGUGGGGCAGAAAGAGGAAUGAUUUUUUUUUAACUGCGCCUUUUAAACUGCGAAGCAGCUAAGCUCCAUAUAUACAGAAGAGCCCCAUGGAAGUCUGGGUGUAUAUAGGGUUAUGUUUUCCAGGUAUGCUAAGUUUCUAGUGCCCAGAUUAGCCAACUGCUAGCUAGAAUAUUUUUCCCACUGUAAUUGCAUUUAAAAGGGGAAAAUACAAAAGGGGAAAAUAAAUUUGAAGAGUUUCAAAUGUAUGGGAUAACAAAGAGAAAAAAUACAGCUCUAUUAAGACCCAAUGAUAGGAGCUGUCUCCAUUGCACAUUUUUAUUCUUUCUCCGAGGUCACCAAUGUCUCAAAUACCAUGUCAAAGGAAGGAGACGGGUAUAUAGGAAAUGUUUUCUCUCAAGUAUGCUAAGUUCCCAGUGCCCAAAUUAGAUGACUUCUUGCUGGAAUAUUGCUCUCAUUGCAAUUGCAUUUAAGGUCACAGGUCAUAUGUUUUGGACAACUGAUAUCAACUGACUGGCUUCCUGGUGCAACUGAACUCUUCCUCUUUUGGGACUCCACGCAGUUACCAUUGUAUCUCUAGCUUGUGACAACUCUUAAGUAAAAUACUGUGUUCUGGGAACACAAUUUUACCAGGGAUAGGAAGUAACAGUUCAAAGGCCAGGGGAUGGCUUAUUUUCUAACCAAUGAUCUUUAAUGCCCUAUUCACUCAAGAUUCUUUACAAGAGGUAUUCAUGGAGACUUGGAAUUGUAUCAAGACAACUGCUGAGGGACAGAAGAACUCCCCAGUUCUACUUAGAUUCUACCUGGACUACAGUCUCUGGAAAAUUCCCAAUCUAUUCAGAAUCCAGAACAUCUCUCACUAAAACUAAUCAAAAUAACAAACUGAGGAGGAUGAAAUAUUGAUUUUAAUUUCCUUGGACUUUCAAAUCACUGUAGCAAGAAAAUACGAUUUUGGACUUGAAUUCAUCUGGAUUUAUUAAGGCUUUAGAUUUUCAUUUCUCCCUAGACAUCUCAUAGGGAAUUGAUACUCACUUUGGAUGCAUCUUUAUAAUUUGGUAUUUUGGUUUUGAAGUAUGGUAAUGCUGUCCUUUAAUCCCACAGCAGGACAUGGGCUAUGUGCCAUCAUCAUCUGUGAUAGAAAAUAGACCAAGGGCGAAUAGAUGGCCUUGAAAACCAAGUGGCCUAGGAGUUAAUUCUAAGGAACUUGUCUGAUCUAUGUUAGAGCCUUCUCAGAGCAAAAUCUUCAUUGCCCACCUGUGGCUCCAGGAUGAUUUCCCAAGAAGCAAGGGAAGCAGGGAGGUGAGAGCAGGCUGAUCCAACAGGCUGCUGCUUUGCUUCUGAGCACUGGGAGAGCCCCGCUCUAGCUUAAUGAACAAAAUCGUUCAUUAAAACUAAUAGAAUAAAAAUAUGGUAACUAAUGGAAAAGGAAUGACUCUUCCUCACUGUUGAUGUUCCCCCUUAAGUGAGGGACCAUCGAUUAGAAUAACAUACCUGGCUUUGUUCUACCUCUUGACUUUUUUAGCGUGAAUCUCACCCUAGACCUAGCAUCAGAAUCUUCUGGAGCUGGGGUCCAGGCACCAGUAUGUUUUAAAAGCUCCCCGGGUGAUUUUAAUGUGUAGGGAGAGCUAAGAACCAAUGAACUAAAUGAUCUCUAAAGAUACUUUCUAACUCUUUUUUUAAAAAAUGCUGUGAUACCACCAGGAGUUAGAGAAAAUGACUUCAAGGCCCUUGGGGCACCCUUUUCUAGCAGCCCCGAGGCUCCAGUGCAUAGUGUGCAAUCAGCCUUCUAAUAGGAGAAAAACAAUACAAGGCUUCAUGUGUUGGUCCCAAAGCUUGCCUAUUCUGGCUGCCCCACCAUGUCACUGCCAUACAAUCAAUGGAAAAAUUGUUCUUUACCAUAACUUGAGAGGGAGAUAAUCAGGAACAAUCUGGCUACACCAUAGGCUAAUCACAAUGACUGAUAUUUCUAGGGCUGCAUUAAUCAAGCCUUCAAGUAGACAGACUCUUACGGUCAGACCAAUUCUAGAAUGAUUCUGCCUCCACUGUGGGAAUCUUUUAUAAACGGAAAUUCUCCAUUCAGCCUUCCCUCUCUCUCUUAAGUGCAAAAUCCCUCCUAAUGGUAGCAUCUGUUGUCUGCGGCAAACAGAGUUGAUUACAGAUGCUCUGAAAGGAAUUUAAGUAUUUUCUCUUGCUACUCAGGAGGUGAUGGUGUGAUGGGAAACAGUAAUUCUUUUUAGAAAAUAAAAAACCUUUGGCUAAACAGUGACUACAAUAAUAAGGUGGGAGAUCUGUUUCUGUGACCCUUCUGUAUAUUUCAUAGAAUGGCUUGGUUUCCUGAAGCCUACUUUGCAAUUGUUGAAGUGAUUUGCCCACUCUAGAGAAGGUAUAUGAAGUGGAAAUGGAAUAUGAAGAGAUAUUCGUACAAGGGAACAAGAUGGAGUCUCACUCUGUUGCCCAGGCUGGGGUGCAGUGGUUUGAUCUUGGCUCACUGCAACUUCUGCCUCCUGGAUUCAAGCAAUUUUCCUGCCUCAGCCUCCCGAGUAGCUGGGAUUACAGGAACCCACCACCACGCCUGGCUAAUUUUUUUUUUUUUUAUUUUCAGUAGGGACAGGGUUUCACCAUGUUGCCCAGGCUGGCUUCAAACUCCUAACCUCAAGUGAUCUGCCUGCCUCAGCCUCCCAAAGUCCAAGGAUUACAGGCAUGAUCCACAGUGCCCACCCAUUAACAAAGUCUUUCUUAACAAAAUCUGCUGGCGGGGAGGGUGAGGGUGCCUAAAAUGAAGAGGUUUGAGGGGUAGGAGGGAUGCAGAUCUGUGAUUAGGCCAGGUUAGGACUAAAGGAGGGGUCCCUGGGCCAGCCCUCAGGACUGGAGAACCCCUGAGAUAGACAGGACAAUGCCCCAUCACCCUUAUGCCAAACACACCUGGAGGAUCUGAGUGUUGUCCUUCUCCUUGACUAUUGAGGAAGGAGAACUAGUCCCCUGAGAAACAGAUAAAAGAGGUCAGUAUCCUGGAUUGCAUCCUUAGACUACCAGUACUAUUUUAUCAUCUACUAAUUAAUUCUCUGGGCUGUAGAAUGUGUCUUUUCCAUUAUCAGCUACAAGUUUAGUUUCAUAUGUGGGUACUUACGAAUAUGUAUAAAAGGGAAUCAGUGUUUAAGUACAUUCUUGUACCUGAUGCUUUAUUUUCAUUUCCUUAUUGAAUCUCCUCUACACCUGCGUGUAGUUGUAUUCUUACCCAUCUAUUGUAUGUGAGAGAAACAAAACUCAAAAAGGCCAAGUAGCACACUUAUGCAAAGGAACACACUUGUGAAAAACUGGUCUGGCAUUCAAAUUUAGGUCAGAUUCCAAAGCCCCUGCUCUUUCUACAACAUCGUGGAGGCUGGUGAGAUGUAGAUUUCCUCACAAGCUGAGGAGAUUGAAUUUGGCAUUGAAUAGCGUCAUCCAAAUUCUUACCUCUGAAAAUAGUUUUGGCAGCUCCUCAAGUAACUGCUUUGUAUUUUGUUGCCUAACAUUCAUUUCUGUUUGAUAACAUUUCCAAUAUUUAAAUACAUUGAAGAUUUUGUUGAUCUGCUGACAUUUAAAUUAGUUUUUGCAUCUUUCCUUCUGACAAUUUUAGGUCAUUGAAUUUCAGAACAGAGUCAUGAUUAUAAAAAAAGAGUUUCCACCAUAUGUAAAAAGACUAUGAUGUUAUACACAGAAAAAAAGGCCAAAGAUGAAAGUUCUGAAACUAUAUACUUCUCAGAGAGGAAUCCAACAAACGCCUUUGCCAAAUCAUGUUGGGAGCUGGUUACAAUGCAGAAUCUUGAACCCCACCCUAGAGAUACAGAUCUGGACAUGGGACCCUAUUACCUACGUUUUCAACACAAAAGUUUAGGAAUCACCACUAUAAACAAUGCACUGUGAAAUAAGUUAUAUUGUAAAGACCCAAACCUUGGAAGUUUUUAUACCCUGAGAGUUCCAAGGAGUGCCACUUCCAGUUCCAGAGGUCUUAGAUUUGAAAUGUACGUAGGCAAAACUGACUGGACUUUUUCUGUGCAAACACACUAUUUCUAUGGGAAAAUAAGAGUUUUGUGCAUGUUAUUGUUGACAUGAAGUGUGGUAAAUAAGAUUAACUCAUCCACAUUUAUCACAAAUCAGCAAACUGGCACAUGUACAAAAACUAAGAAGGGUCCUAGGCCUUAGGCAACUGGCUCACUGUCUUCCUCUCCUUCCUGUUCUCUCUGAAGUACUCUUAUCCCUCUAUCACUGUGAUUAUGUCUGCUUUUCUCCCCCCACUUUUUCCUGUUUCAUAGUGAUUAUAC
RNAcentral lists this long non-coding RNA (4434 nucleotides) under Homo sapiens (human). RNAcentral's name for it is "HSALNT0369976". The record is from RNAcentral. Lineage: Eukaryota; Metazoa; Chordata; Mammalia; Primates; Hominidae.